This 541-nucleotide ribosomal RNA is filed under the name Fusarium solani. RNAcentral's name for it is "eukaryotic LSU rRNA". The stretch from base 155 to 308 matches the Rfam family "5.8S ribosomal RNA". Lineage: Eukaryota; Fungi; Ascomycota; Sordariomycetes; Hypocreales; Nectriaceae. The record is from RNAcentral.
GGGGAAUCGACUAACACUCAUCAACCCUGUGACAUACCUAAUGGUUGCCUCGGCGGGAACAGACGGCCCCGUGAAAACGGGCCGCCCCCGCCAGAGGACCCCCUAACUCUGUUUCUAUAAUGUUUCUUCUGAGUAAAACAAGCAAAUAAAUUAAAACUUUCAACAACGGAUCUCUUGGCUCUGGCAUCAAUAAAGAACGCAACGGAAUGCGAUAAGUAAUGUGAAUUGCAUAAUUCAAUGAAUCAUCCAAUCUUUGAACGCACAUUGCGCCCGCCAUUAUUCUGGCGGGCAUGCCUGUUCGAGCGUCAUUACCACCCUCAGGCCCCCGGGCCUGGAGUUGGGGAUCGGCGGAGGCCCUCCGUGGGCACACGCCGUCCCCCAAAUACAGUGGCGGUCCCGCCGCACCUUCCAUCGCGUAAUACCUAACACCUCGCGACUGGAAAGCGGCGCGGCCACGCCGUACAACCCCCAACUCUUCUGAAGUUGACCUCGAAUCAGGUAGGAAUCCCGCUGAAAUUAAGCAUAUCAAUAAGCGGAGGAA